This 200-nucleotide long non-coding RNA is filed under the name Homo sapiens (human). Its description in RNAcentral is "HSALNT0005528". Lineage: Eukaryota; Metazoa; Chordata; Mammalia; Primates; Hominidae. The record is from RNAcentral.
CCAGCUCCUAGGGUAGGGUGGGGGGAGCUUGGUGCUCUGCCAGAGAGGAGCUGGGUGGCACCGAGUUCAGACAGCCUAGCUUUGGACCCUGACUCUCUCCUUUGCCCAAGACACCAUCCGUUCUGAUUUUUGAGGCGGUUUCCCAGAGGGAGAUGGUCCCCGUCUCCUCAGGUUUGAUGUGAUGAGACUCUAUACAAAAU